RNAcentral lists this ribosomal RNA (1407 nucleotides) under uncultured bacterium. RNAcentral describes it as "bacterial SSU rRNA". It matches the Rfam family "Bacterial small subunit ribosomal RNA". The record is from RNAcentral.
AUGAACGCUGGCGGCGUGCUUAACACAUGCAAGUCGAACGAACCUUCGGGUUAGUGGCGGACGGGUGAGUAACGCGUGAGAAUCUGCCCUCAGGAGGGGGAUAACGGCUGGAAACGGCCGCUAAUACCCCAUAUGCCGAGAGGUGAAAUGAAUUUCGCCUGAGGAUGAGCUCGCGUCUGAUUAGCUUGUUGGUGGGGUAAUGGCCUACCAAGGCGACGAUCAGUAGCUGGUCUGAGAGGAUGAUCAGCCACACUGAGACUGAGACACGGCCCAGACUCCUACGGGAGGCAGCAGUGGGGAAUUUUCCGCAAUGGGCGAAAGCCUGACGGAGCAACGCCGCGUGAGGGAUGAAGGCCUCUGGGCUGUAAACCUCUUUUAUCAAGGAAGAAGAUCUGACGGUACUUGAUGAAUAAGCCACGGCUAAUUCCGUGCCAGCAGCCGCGGUAAUACGGGAGUGGCAAGCGUUAUCCGGAAUUAUUGGGCGUAAAGCGUCCGCAGGCGGCCUGACAAGUCUGCUGUUAAAGCGUGGAGCUUAACUCCAUUUCAGCAGUGGAAACUGUCAGGCUUGAGUGUGGUAGGGGCAGAGGGAAUUCCCGGUGUAGCGGUGAAAUGCGUAGAUAUCGGGAAGAACACCAGUGGCGAAAGCGCUCUGCUGGGCCAUCACUGACGCUCAUGGACGAAAGCCAGGGGAGCGAAAGGGAUUAGAUACCCCUGUAGUCCUGGCCGUAAACGAUGAACACUAGGUGUCGGGGGAAUCGACCCCUCCGGUGUCGUAGCCAACGCGUUAAGUGUUCCGCCUGGGGAGUACGCACGCAAGUGUGAAACUCAAAGGAAUUGACGGGGGCCCGCACAAGCGGUGGAGUAUGUGGUUUAAUUCGAUGCAACGCGAAGAACCUUACCAGGGCUUGACAUCCUGCGAACCUCUGGGAAACCGGAGGGUGCCUUCGGGAACGCAGUGACAGGUGGUGCAUGGCUGUCGUCAGCUCGUGUCGUGAGAUGUUGGGUUAAGUCCCGCAACGAGCGCAACCCACGUCUUUAGUUGCCAGCAUUUAGUUGGGCACUCUAGAGAGACCGCCGGUGACAAACCGGAGGAAGGUGUGGAUGACGUCAAGUCAUCAUGCCCCUUACGUCCUGGGCUACACACGUACUACAAUGCUACGGACAAAGAGCAGCUAACUCGCGAGAGUACGCAAAUCUCAUAAACCGUGGCUCAGUUCAGAUCGUAGGCUGCAACUCGCCUACGUGAAGGAGGAAUCGCUAGUAAUCGCAGGUCAGCAUACUGCGGUGAAUACGUUCCCGGGCCUUGUACACACCGCCCGUCACACCAUGGAAGUUGGCCACGCCCGAAGUCGUUACUCCAACCCUCUGGGAGGAGGACGCCGAAGGUGGGGCUGAUGACUGGGGUGA